Molecule: non-coding RNA, 1181 nt
Organism: Paramuricea clavata
Lineage: Eukaryota; Metazoa; Cnidaria; Anthozoa; Malacalcyonacea; Plexauridae
Source: the annotation of a GenBank genome assembly
UAUAUAUAUAUAUAUAUAUAUAUUCGAUAUUUUUAACGAUGAAAAAUCUAUUUUUGCUAAAUUGCCAACAGAGGUGGGAAAUGUUUUUUUUCUUUCUGGGAACUCUGUGUAGGGCUCAACAUUUUCUACAAAAGAUUACAAUAACUGUCCUGUUGCCAUGUGAAGCAAUAUGUUUUCAAGACUGAUAAAGCUGAUUAAUUCUGUCACGUGAUUCUGUAUAGUAGUCAUAGUAGUUACAGCAUUAGAAACAAAUUUCCUACUGCAGGCUAUAUAAAUGUUUUUGAUAAAACUGUUCCGCUGUAAUUUAGGUAUUGAGUUAGUAGAUGAAUUAAAUAUUCAAUCAUUUCAAUAGUAAUUUAGAUAUUCAAUCAGUUUAAUUUUCAAAAUUAGCGAUCAGACAUAAAAAAUGUCUGUGAAAAUUUCUGCAAAAAUGUAGAUUCCAAACAAUUUCUGGGAACUAGGUUCCCAGGUUGCGAUACGUUUUCCACCUCGUAUUGUCAAUAUGGGACUCAAGCAAGGAGGAUGACAAACGCAACAACAACACAACAUUUAUGUUUCUGUAAUUGACGUCACACACGCAUUGCAGUUUCAGGUUAUGUUGUAAGCGUGUUGCCAUCCUACAUGCUUGCGCCCGUUAUUAUCAUGAAAACCGAUUCUGCACAACAUGUGUCGAUUAGUGCAACUGCUGAAUUUCUGUUGCCUUAACUUGAUACCGCGUGACUGCUAGCGCAAUGAAGCAUUUAAUUCACUGAUCUUAACAGCCUCUCGCGCUGUGGAGGAAAGAGAUUUUGCAUACAAGCGGUGGUAGCCGCCAAGGAAACACGAUCUGUCGCUAUGUAGAUCGAGUAAUUUAUCAUUCCAUAUAAGUAAUCACUUGCGAACUGAGUGCAAUCACUUAGAUUAUUUACGCUAUAUACAUAAAAAAUUAGAAUUAUAUACGUAUUACCCACAAUCAAGUUUGAUGUUUGUGAUUGCAAUGACUACACAUAUUGUUGCAAAGUGUUGUGCUAAACUAUUGACAACUCUCAGUUGGGGUAAUUUUACUUACGACGCAAAGUACUUUGAGAUCCUGUUUACUCGCCACCAGAUCAGCGUGUUGUGCAGCAUCGAUUUUCUUAAACGCUUUCAAAUUACUGUACGUACAAUAUGAAAAUUUCAAUUGAAUUAAAUGUCUUUAGGAC